This 230-nucleotide unclassified non-coding RNA is filed under the name plant metagenome. RNAcentral's name for it is "partial contains small subunit ribosomal RNA, internal transcribed spacer 1, and 5.8S ribosomal RNA". The stretch from base 1 to 53 matches the Rfam family "Eukaryotic small subunit ribosomal RNA", at positions 1778 to 1831 of the family's 1831-position model. The record is from RNAcentral.
GGAAGUAAAAUCGUAACAAGGUCUCCGUUGGUGAACCAGCGGAGGGAUCAUUACUGGAAUCGCAAGAUCCCACAACCCUGUGAACCUACCGAAACGUUGCCUCGGCGGGUGCCCGGCCUCUGCGCCGGGCGCUGCGCCCGCCGGCGGCCCCCUACUCUGUCUCUGCAGCGUGGCAUCUCAGAGUCCCAGAAAACAAGUCAAAACUUUCAACAACGGAUCUCUUGGCUCUA